UCUUUAACUGAAGGGCAGCCAUGGACCAUAAAUACAUAGAAGAUAAAAAUAUAUUGAGCUUAGGAGUUUGGUCUGUUCAAUGGAUGAGAACUUUAUAUUUUCCCUUAUAAACACAAUUUUCAAAGAAUAGCCUGUAAUAGUCGUGAAAAUGGAAACCAAUACUGGGGAAAUGUGGACUGCAACUCUGAAAAGUUGAAGACUAUUCACCCCGGUGGACUCAUCAUGUUGGGGACUUUCAAUUGCUACUUUAAAAAGAACGCUUCACUGAAAUAGGUCUCAUCCCAUCAGGAACAUAGAAAAACAAGCAGCAGGCCGGGCGCGGCGGCACAGGCCUAUAAUCCCAGCUACUUGGGAGGCUGAGGCAGAAGAAUCGCUUGAACCCAGGAGGCGGAGGUUGCAGUGAGCCGAGAUCGCGCCACUGCACUCCAGCCUGGGCGACAGAGAGAGACUCUGUCUCAAAAAAAAGUAAAAAAAAAGAAAAAAAGGAAAACAAAAGAAAAAAGAAAAGCAGUUGUUUAUCUUUU
This 524-nucleotide long non-coding RNA is filed under the name Homo sapiens (human). RNAcentral's name for it is "non-protein coding LINC02246:30". The record is from RNAcentral. Lineage: Eukaryota; Metazoa; Chordata; Mammalia; Primates; Hominidae.